ACGAAAGUCUGAUGGAGCAACGCCGCGUGAGUGAAGUAAGGGUUUCGGCUCGUAAAACUCUGUUGUUAAAGAAGAACAUAUCUGAGAGUAACUGUUCAGGUAUUGACGGUAUUUAACCAGAAAGCCACGGCUAACUACGUGCCAGCAGCCGCGGUAAUACGUAGGUGGCAAGCGUUGUCCGGAUUUAUUGGGCGUAAAGCGAGCGCAGGCGGUUUUUAAGUCUGAUGUGAAAGCCUUCGGCUCAACCGAAGAAGUGCAUCGGAAACUGGGAAACUUGAGUGCAGAAGAGGACAGUGGAACUCCAUGUGUAGCGGUGAAAUGCGUAGAUAUAUAGGAAAACACCAGUGGCGAAGGCGGCUGUCUGGUCUGUAACUGACGCUGAGGCUCGAAAGUAUGGGUAGCAAACAGGAUUAGAUACCCUGGUAG
Molecule: ribosomal RNA, 426 nt
Filed under: uncultured bacterium
Lineage: Bacteria
Description: bacterial SSU rRNA
Rfam family: Bacterial small subunit ribosomal RNA
Source: RNAcentral